UACAGAGGGUGCAAGCGUUGUUCGGAAUUAUUGGGCGUAAAGGGCGCGUAGGCGGUUCGGCAAGUCUCUAGUGAAAUCUCUGGGCUCAACUCAGAGUCUGCAGGCGAAACUGCCGUGCUGGAGUGUGGGAGAGGUGCGUGGAAUUCCCGGUGUAGCGGUGAAAUGCGUAGAUAUUGGGAGGAACACCUGUGGCGAAAGCGGCGCACUGGACCACAACUGACGCUGAGGCGCGAAAGCUAGGGGAGCAAACAGG
RNAcentral lists this ribosomal RNA (253 nucleotides) under uncultured bacterium. Its description in RNAcentral is "partial 16S ribosomal RNA". It matches the Rfam family "Bacterial small subunit ribosomal RNA", at positions 524 to 776 of the family's 1533-position model. The record is from RNAcentral.